Molecule: ribosomal RNA, 373 nt
Filed under: uncultured bacterium
Lineage: Bacteria
Description: bacterial SSU rRNA
Rfam family: Bacterial small subunit ribosomal RNA
Source: RNAcentral
GACGAACGCUGGCGGCGUGCUUAACACAUGCAAGUCGAGCGGUAAGGCCCUUUCGGGGGUACACGAGCGGCGAACGGGUGAGUAACACGUGGGUGACCUGCCCUCAGCUCUGGGAUAAGCCUGGGAAACUGGGUCUAAUACUGGANAUGACUCCACGGUGCAUGUCGUGGGGUGGAAAGCCUUGUGCGGCUGAGGAUGGGCCCGCGGCCUAUCAGCUUGUUGGUGGGGUGAUGGCCUACCAAGGCGACGACGGGUAGCCGGCCUGAGAGGGCGACCGGCCACACUGGGACUGAGACACGGCCCAGACUCCUACGGGAGGCAGCAGUGGGGAAUCUUGCGCAAUGGGCGAAAGCCUGACGCAGCGACGCCGCGU